GACGAACGCUGGCGGCGUGCCUAAUACAUGCAAGUAGAACGCUGAAGAGAGGAGCUUGCUCUUCUUGGAUGAGUUGCGAACGGGUGAGUAACGCGUAGGUAACCUGCCUUGUAGCGGGGGAUAACUAUUGGAAACGAUAGCUAAUACCGCAUAACAAUGGAUGACACAUGUUAUUUAUUUGAAAGGGGCAAUUGCUCCACUACAAGAUGGACCUGCGUUGUAUUAGCUAGUAGGUGAGGUAAUGGCUUACCUAGGCCACGGUACCUAGCCGGACUGAGAGGGUGGUCGGCCCCACUGGGAAUUGGACCAGGCCCCGACUCCUUAGGGAGGGCGCAGGAGGGAAUCCUCGGCCAUUGGGGCAAAGCUGAACGAGCCACGCCGCGUGAGGGAAGAAGGGUUUCGGAUCGUAAAGAUCCGUUGUAAGUCAAGAAAGGGUGUUAGAGUGGAAAGUUCACGCUGUGACGGUAGCUUACCAGAAAGGGACGGCUAACUACGUG
RNAcentral lists this ribosomal RNA (497 nucleotides) under uncultured bacterium. RNAcentral describes it as "partial 16S ribosomal RNA". It matches the Rfam family "Bacterial small subunit ribosomal RNA", at positions 28 to 507 of the family's 1533-position model. The record is from RNAcentral.